Molecule: ribosomal RNA, 1342 nt
Filed under: uncultured prokaryote
Description: partial 16S ribosomal RNA
Rfam family: Bacterial small subunit ribosomal RNA
Source: RNAcentral
CUCUUCGGAGUGAGUGGCAGACGGGUGAGUAACGCGUGGGAACCUACCUUUUAGUUCGGAAUAACUUGGGGAAACUCAAGCUAAUACCGAAUACGCUCUUCGGAGGAAAGAUUUAUCGCUAAAAGAUGGGCCCGCGUUGGAUUAGCUAGAUGGUGGGGUAAUGGCCUACCAUGGCUACGAUCCAUAGCUGGUCUGAGAGGAUGAUCAGCCACAUUGGGACUGAGACACGGCCCAAACUCCUACGGGAGGCAGCAGUGGGGAAUCUUCGGCAAUGGGCGAAAGCCUGACCGAGCCAUGCCGCGUGAGUGAUGAAGGCCUUAGGGUUGUAAAACUCUUUCGCUAGGGAAGAUAAUGACGGUACCUAGUAAAGAAGCCCCGGCUAACUCCGUGCCAGCAGCCGCGGUAAUACGGAGGGGACUAGCGUUGUUCGGAAUCACUGGGCGUAAAGCGCACGUAGGUGGAUUGGUAAGUUAGGGGUGAAAUCCCGGAGCUCAACUCCGGAACUGCCUUUGAUACUGCCAGUCUAGAGUUUGGAAGAGGUAAGUGGAAUUCCGAGUGUAGAGGUGAAAUUCGUAGAUAUUCGGAGGAACACCAGUGGCGAAGGCGGCUUACUGGUCCAAUACUGACACUGAGGUACGAAAGCGUGGGGAGCAAACAGGAUUAGAUCCCCUGGUAGUCCACGCCGUAAACGAUGGAAGCUAGCCGUCGGGCAGUAUACUGUUCGGUGGCGCAGCUAACGCAUUAAGCUUCCCGCCUGGGGAGUACGGUCGCAAGAUUAAAACUCAAAGAAAUUGACGGGGGCCCGCACAAGCGGUGGAGCAUGUGGUUUAAUUCGAAGCAACGCGCAGAACCUUACCUACCCUUGACAUACCGAUCGCGUUUUCCAGAGAUGGAUUACUUCAGUAGGCUGGAUCGGAUACAGGUGCUGCAUGGCUGUCGUCAGCUCGUGUCGUGAGAUGCUGGGUUAAGUCCCGCAACGAGCGCAACCCUCGCCUUUAGUUGCCAGCAUUAAGUUGGGCACUCUAAGGGGACUGCCGGUGAUAAGCCGGAGGAAGGUGGGGACGACGUCAAGUCAUCAUGGCCCUUACGGGCUGGGCUACACACGUGCUACAAUGGCGGUUACAGUGGGUUGCCACUCCGCGAGGAGGAGCUAAUCCCUAAAAAUCGUCUCAGUUCGGAUUGUUCUCUGCAACUCGAGAGCAUGAAGUUGGAGUCGCUAGUAAUCGUGGGUCAGCAUACCACGGUGAAUACGUUCCCGGGCCUUGUACACACCGCCCGUCACACCAUGGGAGUUGGGUUUACCCGAAGGCAGUGCGCUAACCGCAAGGAGGCAGCUGACCAC